Molecule: long non-coding RNA, 322 nt
Organism: Lycium barbarum (goji berry)
Lineage: Eukaryota; Viridiplantae; Streptophyta; Magnoliopsida; Solanales; Solanaceae
Exons: 3
Source: RefSeq, a predicted model, not a curated record
GAGAGAGAGAUCCUAGGCUAAGGAAGCCAUUUUGAUCAAAAUCCGAGCUCCGAAUCCCGAAGCUCAUGAAGAGAAAAACGUUGUACGUUGCGUUGCCUUCAAUUUGAGAUAAAUAUUGGUCUUGGGGGAUGAAAUUUUCGUGGUGGAGCUUCUGAUAAGGUUUUGGGCGAAACGGAGAUUGAGUUUGGACAAGCGUGAGUAGCGCGAAAGGUACUCCCAGGUGAGUUGAAGACAGUAUAGAAGAUGUUCCAGUGCAGAUGGCAAGCUCCAUUUGUUCCCGGAGUGCUGCCGAGUCAGAGUUGGUAUGUUAUGCUUUCUGGAU